This is a non-coding RNA of Parasteatoda tepidariorum (common house spider), 502 nucleotides long. The record is from RefSeq and is a predicted model, not a curated record. Lineage: Eukaryota; Metazoa; Arthropoda; Arachnida; Araneae; Theridiidae.
GGAUAUAAAGGACUAAAAUUUUCAUCAUUGUGUGAGGAAGUACCAUGCCCAAAAGGAUUGACUUGUUCUGGAGCUAAAGAAGACUAUGCUGAUACUGAUUGUACAGUUUCUCAGUUUGCCUCUUUCUAUGGCAAAAAGUCUAAGAGAAGGGAUUGUUCUGUUGUUACAAAAGUAAAGAAUGCGGGUUCUAAAGAUACAAUUUCUGGGUUAGUGUUAUUUUUUUCUUUCUCCAAUACUUUGUAAGUAUUGUUCAGAAUUUUGCUCAUUUCUGUUUAAUCAUUUUGCUUUGUAGUUUUUUAUUUUUCUUUCUUUUUUUGCAAUAUAAAUGUGAAGAAGCAUUUAUCAAUGCCAGAGCCAAGAAUAUGUGCAGUAAUUUUUUAAAUAUUAUUUUUUUUUAAAUAUUCCAUUUAAUGCUUUUGUUAGUUCUACAUCUGCAAUUAAUUGUAGAUGUAGAAGACUUUCUAUACAUACAUGUAGUUUAUAUAUGUGUAUGCUUAUAUAU